This 253-nucleotide ribosomal RNA is filed under the name uncultured bacterium. RNAcentral describes it as "partial 16S ribosomal RNA". It matches the Rfam family "Bacterial small subunit ribosomal RNA", at positions 524 to 776 of the family's 1533-position model. The record is from RNAcentral.
UACGAAGGGGGCUAGCGUUGUUCGGAAUUACUGGGCGUAAAGCGCACGUAGGCGGGUCUUUAAGUCAGGGGUGAAAUCCUGGAGCUCAACUCCAGAACUGCCUUUGAUACUGAAGAUCUUGAGUUCGGGAGAGGUGAGUGGAACUGCGAGUGUAGAGGUGAAAUUCGUAGAUAUUCGCAAGAACACCAGUGGCGAAGGCGGCUCACUGGCCCGAUACUGACGCUGAGGCACGAAAGCGUGGGGAGCAAACAGG